AUUGAACGCUGGCGGCAUGCUUUACACAUGCAAGUCGAACGGCAGCGCGGGCUUCGGCCUGGCGGCGAGUGGCGAACGGGUGAGUAAUGCAUCGGAACGUGCCCAGUAGUGGGGGAUAGCGCGGCGAAAGCCGGAUUAAUACCGCAUACGACCUGAGGGUGAAAGCGGGGGACCGAAAGGCCUCGCGCUAUUGGAGCGGCCGAUGUCGGAUUAGCUAGUUGGUGGGGUAAAGGCUUACCAAGGCGACGAUCCGUAGCUGGUCUGAGAGGACGACCAGCCACACUGGGACUGAGACACGGCCCAGACUCCUACGGGAGGCAGCAGUGGGGAAUUUUGGACAAUGGGGGCAACCCUGAUCCAGCCAUGCCGCGUGCGGGAAGAAGGCCUUCGGGUUGUAAACCGCUUUUGUUCGGGAAGAAAGCCUCUGGGCUAAUACCCCGGGGGGAUGACGGUACCGGAAGAAUAAGCACCGGCUAACUACGUG
This 484-nucleotide ribosomal RNA is filed under the name uncultured bacterium. RNAcentral describes it as "partial 16S ribosomal RNA". It matches the Rfam family "Bacterial small subunit ribosomal RNA", at positions 28 to 507 of the family's 1533-position model. The record is from RNAcentral.